Molecule: transfer RNA, 88 nt
Filed under: Arcobacter sp.
Lineage: Bacteria; Pseudomonadati; Campylobacterota; Epsilonproteobacteria; Campylobacterales; Arcobacteraceae
Description: tRNA-Ile
Rfam family: tRNA
About the family: Transfer RNA (tRNA) molecules are approximately 80 nucleotides in length. Their secondary structure includes four short double-helical elements and three loops (D, anti-codon, and T loops).
Source: RNAcentral
GUAGAGUUGACUGAAUGGUAAGGUGCUCGAUUGAUACUCGAAGGCUAGGGGCAACCCUAAGCAGGUUCGAAACCUGUACUCUCUGCAA